AUGCCGCUGAGUACGACUACGUCACCGACGACCCUUCUUCCUGUACAACAGAGCUUCCAGGAGCUAGAGAUCCCGAGGAUGAUUCUACGUGGAGUUCGGCUUCGAGGAGUAGUUAGGAGGUCCCAGGCAGGAGGCCUUGCCUUUUUGAUCGUUGCUACUUUUGUGCUAGCCUUCUUAAGGCAAACUUGUUUAACUUAUGUCUGUACUCAGAUAUUGUUGCUUCCGCUGACUCGUCUAUGA
RNAcentral lists this ribosomal RNA (240 nucleotides) under Triticum aestivum (bread wheat). RNAcentral's name for it is "partial small subunit ribosomal RNA". Lineage: Eukaryota; Viridiplantae; Streptophyta; Magnoliopsida; Poales; Poaceae. The record is from RNAcentral.